RNAcentral lists this unclassified non-coding RNA (269 nucleotides) under Hevea brasiliensis (rubber tree). Lineage: Eukaryota; Viridiplantae; Streptophyta; Magnoliopsida; Malpighiales; Euphorbiaceae. The record is from RNAcentral.
AGGAGCAGAAAGAAUUGGCUUGAUGUAUGAGUAUUGUUUUGCAUUGUGGCAGUAGCAUGAAGCAGGGUAUGUCAGUUGAAUUUAGUGGGAAUGGGAUUCAGAUUUUGAUCUUUGAAAAUUGAAGCCUCAGAAGAAUUAGUCAACAAAGCUGACAUGUUGUUGUUUGUUUUUUGUUGUGUCAUUCCAAAAUUUGUUUUGUUGGUUUCGACCAGAUUGAGACACAAUCAGCUAUAAAUUUCAACAUUGAACAUGUAGAGCAAGUAGUAAGG